RNAcentral lists this long non-coding RNA (689 nucleotides) under Rattus norvegicus (Norway rat). Its description in RNAcentral is "long non-coding RNA NONRATT019395". Lineage: Eukaryota; Metazoa; Chordata; Mammalia; Rodentia; Muridae. The record is from RNAcentral.
UCAUCCUACGACGCGGUGCGCUCGGCCGUCUGUAGCCUCAGCCGGAGAGCUGAUCGUCUGUAGGAUCACGCUUGUCCGUCUUGAUCUAGAAAAGCCCAGCCCUCCGGGGGCGGAGGAGAAAGUCACCGGGUGGCCCUCGUGCUCAGGCGCCCCGACGGGCGGCCUGCCCGCAGGGCUCCGCGCGCCCCCUCAACCUGGGAAUCCGGGGAUGGCCUCGCGCCCGGCGCAAGGACGUGCGGACCUGGGCGGUGGGCUUCGAGAAUGACGGUGACUUACUGCCCGCUUGGUGGAUUGCUGUGCAUCCAGACGAGGCGGUACAAGUUUUGGAACAAGUUUUUUGAGCACGUAGAAAGACAUGGAUUUGAUUGACAUCCUUUGGAGGCAAGACAUAGAUCUUGGGGUAAGUCGAGAAGUGUUUGACUUUAGUCAGCGACAGAAGGAUUAUGAGCUGGAAAAACAGAAAAAACUCGAAAAGGAGAGACAAGAGCAACUCCAGAAGGAACAGGAGAAGGCCUUUUUCGCUCAGUUACAACUGGAUGAAGAGACCGGAGAAUUCCUCCCAAUUCAGCCAGCCCAGCACAUCCAGACAGACACCAGUGGAUCUGUCAGCUACUCCCAGGUUGCCCACAUUCCCAAACAAGAUGCCUUGUACUUUGAAGACUGUAUGCAGCUUUUGGCAGAGACAUUCC